Molecule: ribosomal RNA, 253 nt
Filed under: uncultured bacterium
Lineage: Bacteria
Description: partial 16S ribosomal RNA
Rfam family: Bacterial small subunit ribosomal RNA
Source: RNAcentral
GACAGAGGGUGCAAACGUUGUUCGGAAUUACUGGGCGUAAAGCGCGUGUAGGCUGCUUCGAAAGUCGGAUGUGAAAGCCCUGGGCUCAACCUAGGAAGUGCAUUCGAAACUUCGAAGCUGGAGUCCUGGAGAGGAAGGCGGAAUUCUCGGUGUAGAGGUGAAAUUCGUAGAUAUCGAGAGGAACACCGGUGGCGAAGGCGGCCUUCUGGACAGUGACUGGCGCUGAGACGCGAAAGCGUGGGGAGCAAACAGG